Molecule: long non-coding RNA, 784 nt
Organism: Neofelis nebulosa (Clouded leopard)
Lineage: Eukaryota; Metazoa; Chordata; Mammalia; Carnivora; Felidae
Exons: 2
Source: RefSeq, a predicted model, not a curated record
CCUCCUUCAGCUCUCUUCAGAACUUGGAGACGCAGUGAGCUUAGUUAGUACCUGAACACCUGGUAGUGCUUACUUUCCAGCUGCGUAAUAGUAGGAAUUUUUAUCCUAUCUAAUCAAGCCACAGCUUCUCAGAUGGUAGCUGCGUUGAAUAGAGUUGUUAGGGUAGGAGCGUGGUGUAAUGCUAAGAACCUAAUUAAAUACUAAAUUGGUCGUUUACAGAUCUCUUAAGUGGUAGUAAGAAGGCUCUAGGGGAUCUAACGAUCACUGGACUAAAGUUGCUUUUAUAAUAACAAUAUCUUUCAAGAGCAAAGAAGAUAACUGUAUAACACAGUGGUACCAGUUUACCUAUCAUACAACCAUCUUGGUAAUAAAUAACUGUCAAAUAGUCAAACCUACCACAUGGCGAUGCAGAGAUAACUCAGACACCAAAAAUGAUUCUGGAUCAGACAUAAUGUGAUUUAAUACAACACAGGGGAUACAGAGAGGGUAAAAAAAUCCUAUGAUUAAAGACAAGGCUUUAAAGAAGACACUUUCUUAGGUAUUUUCAACUAUAUUUUAUCCACCUCAGAAGUGUUCUUAAGACUAUAUGGAAUGUCCAUAGAUUUUAGAAUAUUUGUGCAAUUCUGCUUUUCAUAUAAUACUUCCCAUUAGGCAUAAUCUAAUUGCAGUGAAGGUCUGUUUUAAUAUAAAUCAGUAAUCUAAAAGCAUUUUUAAUCAAUUUAGUGCCAUCCUAGAAAAAAAAAAAAAAAACACUUAUAACACGUUCCCUGGAAUAUAUGCCUUU